RNAcentral lists this ribosomal RNA (253 nucleotides) under uncultured bacterium. RNAcentral's name for it is "partial 16S ribosomal RNA". It matches the Rfam family "Bacterial small subunit ribosomal RNA", at positions 524 to 776 of the family's 1533-position model. The record is from RNAcentral.
UACGUAGGUGACAAGCGUUGUCCGGAUUUACUGGGCGUAAAGAGCGCGCAGGCGGUCGAUCAAGUCGAGUGUGAAAGCCCCCGGCUCAACUGGGGAGGGUCAUUCGAUACUGAUCGACUCGAAGGCAGGAGAGGGUAGUGGAAUUCCCGGUGUAGUGGUGAAAUGCGUAGAUAUCGGGAGGAGCACCAGUGGCGAAGGCGACUACCUGGCCUGUUCUUGACGCUGAGGCGCGAAAGCUAGGGGAGCAAACGGG